CUGGCACUGAAUCAAGGCCAGCAGCUGCCCGGUGCUGUUGGUUUCAAGUAGGAGCCUAAAGAGAUGUCCUUCUAUGGUCUGUUGGCCAUUUCAGAAGUUGUGCAGUGAAAUAGUCAAUUCAUUGGAAAGAAACAGCU
This is a small nucleolar RNA of Cavia porcellus (domestic guinea pig), 137 nucleotides long. Lineage: Eukaryota; Metazoa; Chordata; Mammalia; Rodentia; Caviidae. The record is from Ensembl.